Molecule: ribosomal RNA, 462 nt
Filed under: uncultured bacterium
Lineage: Bacteria
Description: partial 16S ribosomal RNA
Rfam family: Bacterial small subunit ribosomal RNA
Source: RNAcentral
GACGAACGCUGGCGGCGUGCUUAACACAUGCAAGUCGAACGGUGAACCUCUUCGAGGGGGUCAGUGGCGAACGGGUGGGUAACCAGUGGGCAACCUGCCCCCGGCCCCGGGAUAAAUCCCAGAAAUUGGGGCCAAUACCGGAUGUUCACCCCUUCCCGCAUGGGUGGUGGUGGGAAGGGUUUCCGGCUGGGGAUGGGCCCGCGGCCUAUCAGCUUGUUGGUGGGGUAGUGGCCUACCAAGGCGACGACGGGUAGCCGGCCUGAGAGGGUGACCGGCCACACUGGGACUGAGACACGGCCCAGACUCCUACGGGAGGCAGCAGUGGGGAAUAUUGCGCAAUGGGCGGAAGCCUGACGCAGCGACGCCGCGUGGGGGAUGACGGCCUUCGGGUUGUAAACCUCUUUCAGCAGGGACGAAGCGCAAGUGACGGUACCUGCAGAAGAAGCACCGGCCAACUACGUG